GCUGUGGCUUAGCCCAAGGGCAGGCGCCAGGCACUGUCUGGGCAGGAGGAAGCAAUGGCAGUGAGUGCCGCCGCCUGGGGCUGGGAUUAGCUGUGACUGGCACCACUGAGGGUACAGCAGUCCAUGGCCUGCUGCCUGAGACAUUGAUCCAUAGGCUGGAGAAUCCCUGUGGGGACAGCUCAGGACACUGCUGACAAGUGCCAGGGUUGGCACUGGGGGCCUCUGGAGAAUAAGGGCAUCUAGUCUCGUUCAUUCAUUUACCAUUCAUGCAUUCAUUCAUUAUUUACUGCACACCGAUUGUGUGCCCAGCCCUGUGAAUACAGAGAUGAACAAGGCCCGGUUCCUGCCCUCAAAAGGCUACCUGUCUGGUGGGUGGGUACCCCAUGUAUGAAGGUAGGUUCAAGACUUGAACUCUGAUCCCUCAGGGGAUCAGGGCAUUUUCCACUUGUAUCAAGGGGGAUCUUCUAAAACACAGAAUAUGACCCUGUCACUCUCCUGCUCCAUAGUAAUCAAUGACUCUCUACUGCCCUUAGGAGAAAGUCCAGGUUCCUUAGAGGAGCUUGAAAUGAUCCAGCUAUGUUGCCACUAUGUCCCUUUCUCAUCUGAUUCCCCACAGCCUAGUAUCCAUCCCGGCACAAGAUCUUCCUCCUCCAUCCUGCCCCCCGGAGCGCAGAGACUUCCAGAAGAACAGCCUGUUCUCCAGCAUCUGGAGCUGGUUUCUUGAGGGAGGUUCAGGGGCAAGCCAGAUCCCAGAGAGGGGUGCUCUGGAACGGCCGUGGGGCCAGGACUUACAGGAGACGCAUGAUGUGGGGAGGAAAAGACAAAAAGCGGGAUGUCCUUCGUUUCUCCCACUCUUGGCACGGCAGCCAGGCCAGGCCACAUACAGACAGACUCUCCUGGGGAGUCCUGGGAGCUGCAGAGAACAAAGGUCCAAAUUCCCUGGCAGGCCAGGGAGCAGCAUCCCCGGGCAAGGGCGAGCAGAGGGCAGGGGAUGGAUGUUGGGGCCUCUCCUCUCACAGCUCAGGCAAUGUGCUGUCCUGGGCAGGGGAUCUGGCUUUGCUCCCCAAAGCUCUAGGCAUCCCCAGUGCCCUAAGGAAGGGAGUGGCUGAGGAUGAAGGCAGGGCCUUCAAGAUCUCACACUUUCCUGGUCCUGGAGGGAAAAGUUCAAAGCAGAACAAGAGUGGGAGAGAAACACUCAGCUAAGAUGGAGUUGAAGAAGGACAACCACCACACCAUGGAGCCUAGAGUGCCUACAACUGAAAGUGGGAGGAUUGCAUCCAGCAUCCAUGUGGAAUCUGAGCCUCCUCUUGACAUAGAGGUGCAAUGGACACAACCAAUCCAAUGUCCACAUAGAAGAGGUGGCAUUGGAUUGGGAAAAGUGGACAUGGUGGCUGAUGGGUAUGGGGAAAGGCAGGAAGAGAUGAGAGGUGGAGGCGUCUUUGGGACAUGGAGCUGCCCUGGAUGGUGCUUCAGAGGCAAUCACCGGACAUUGUAUAUCCUCACAGGGCCCACUGGAUGGAAUGGGGGAG
Molecule: long non-coding RNA, 1529 nt
Filed under: Dasypus novemcinctus (nine-banded armadillo)
Lineage: Eukaryota; Metazoa; Chordata; Mammalia; Cingulata; Dasypodidae
Description: lncRNA (ENSDNOG00000051701.1)
Source: RNAcentral